This 496-nucleotide ribosomal RNA is filed under the name uncultured bacterium. Its description in RNAcentral is "partial 16S ribosomal RNA". It matches the Rfam family "Bacterial small subunit ribosomal RNA", at positions 28 to 506 of the family's 1533-position model. The record is from RNAcentral.
GAUGAACGCUGGCGGCGUGCCUAAUACAUGCAAGUCGAGCGAACGGACGAGAAGCUUGCUUCUCUGAUGUUAGCGGCGGACGGGUGAGUAACACGUGGAUAACCUACCUAUAAGACUGGGAUAACUUCGGGAAACCGGAGCUAAUACCGGAUAAUAUUUUGAACCGCAUGGUUCAAAAGUGAAAGACGGUCUUGCUGUCACUUAUAGAUGGAUCCGCGCUGCAUUAGCUAGUUGGUAAGGUAACGGCUUACCAAGGCAACGAUGCAUAGCCGACCUGAGAGGGUGAUCGGCCACACUGGAACUGAGGCACGGUCCAGACUCCUACGGGAGGCAGCAGGAGGGAAUCUUCCGCAAUGGGCGAAAGCCUGACGGAGCAACGCCGCGUGAGUGAUGAAGGUCUUCGGAUCGUAAAACUCUGUUAUUAGGGAAGAACAUAUGUGUAAGUAACUGUGCACAUCUUGACGGUACCUAAUCAGAAGGCCACGGCUAACUACGU